UACGAAGGGUGCAAGCGUUAACCGGAAUUACUGGGCGUAAAGGGCGCGUAGGUGGGUUGAUAAGUUGGUUGUGAAAGCCCGGGGCUCAACCUGGGAACUGCAUCCAAAACUGGCAAGCUAGAGUAUGGCAGAGGGUGGUGGAAUUUCCUGUGUAGCGGUGAAAUGCGUAGAUAUAGGAAGGAACACCAGUGGCGAAGGCGACCACCUGGGCUAAUACUGACACUGAGGUGCGAAAGCGUGGGGUGCAAACAGG
Molecule: unclassified non-coding RNA, 253 nt
Filed under: uncultured Pseudomonadaceae bacterium
Lineage: Bacteria; Pseudomonadati; Pseudomonadota; Gammaproteobacteria; Pseudomonadales; Pseudomonadaceae
Description: contains 16S-23S intergenic spacer region
Rfam family: Bacterial small subunit ribosomal RNA
Source: RNAcentral